This is a long non-coding RNA of Gigantopelta aegis, 872 nucleotides long. RefSeq lists it as uncharacterized. The record is from RefSeq and is a predicted model, not a curated record. The transcript is spliced from 2 exons. Lineage: Eukaryota; Metazoa; Mollusca; Gastropoda; Neomphalida; Peltospiridae.
AAAAAGGUAGCAGGUUUCUUCUCUAAGACUAAAAUGUCAGAAUUACCAAAUAUUUGACAUUGUCACAGAAAAGAUUAGUUUUAUGUAUUUUAUGAUGUUAGAGGGGGUUUAUAUAAUAAAUGCCCAAUAUUUUGUCCAUAUCUGGUAGAGCAUGAGCAUACUGGGUAAAUUGUGAAAACGUUGUCAUAACUUUUUAUGAGCAGUAUAUUGAGUUUCUUCAGUGGGAAAUUAAGCUGCAGGUAAAAAGCAUGCAGGCUGUGGGAAAGGUAAACUCACCUGUCUGUUCAUCAGUGCAUUUGCCAAGAAGGUUUCCAGCAGGCAAGUUGACUGGGAAAUGGCUCUUAGGAGCUUUUUGGGUUUGAGCGUGAGCCAGAACCACAAGAACCUUUGGGUUUGAGCGUGAGCCAGAACCAUGAGAAGUAUGUGAGCUACGAGAGCUAUGAUAGCUAUGUGAGCUAUAACUGGGUGUGAGGGAUGACACAGAUGUGACCAGCGGGACUGUAGGAGAACCAUCUGCAAGAGAUGUCUACAGACUAGCGUGGUGGCAGACUGUGAUUAGGAUAUCUGCAAGAGAUGUCAACAGUCAACCAUCCAAGAUGUGCUAGUGUCUGGUCGUCAUCAAGAUAUUGAUAGUAUUCGCAAUGACAGUGAAUUUCAGAUGAGUUUAUACUGAUACAAACUGAACUGGUUUAAAAUGAUUAUUUAACUAAGGCUCGAACACUGACUAGAAGCUAGUUGGCUCAGACUGGUUUACCAUGGACACCAGAAUACAGUUUUUUGGGGGGUUUAAUUUAAGGUUGGGGUAGUGAUGUGUUUGGAGUGAAAUCGUCAUUUUGUAUAUUUAUAUUUUGUAUAUAAAUUUGUUGAAAUGU